Molecule: long non-coding RNA, 147 nt
Organism: Xiphophorus hellerii (green swordtail)
Lineage: Eukaryota; Metazoa; Chordata; Actinopteri; Cyprinodontiformes; Poeciliidae
Exons: 3
Source: RefSeq, a predicted model, not a curated record
UGCUUUUUUCAACGAGGCACUUCCAGGUUUUCUGGUUUGGACAGUGACUGAGAGUUUUCUGGUUUGGACAGUGACUGAGAGUUUUCUGGUUUGGACAGUGACUGGCAGUUUUAUGGUUUGAACGGGAAAAUGGCCAAGGCUGAAGAG